GAUGAACGCUGGCUACAGGCUUAACACAUGCAAGUCGAGGGGAAACGACGGGGAAGCUUGCUUCCCCGGGCGUCGACCGGCGCACGGGUGAGUAACGCGUAUCCAACCUGCCUCUGACUGAGGGAUAACCCGUCGAAAGUCGGCCUAAUACCGCAUUGCAUCUUCUGCGGGCAUCCAACGACGAUUAAAGAUUUCAUCUGUCACAGAUGGGGUUGCGUCUGAUUAGCUUGUUGGCGGGGUAACGGCUCACCAAGGCGACGAUCAGCAGGGGUUCUGAGAGGAAGGUGCCUGAGAGUGGAACGGAGACCAGUGCGACAGUCAUACGGGCGGGAGUAGUGCGGGAUAUUGGAGUGGGGGAGAGAGCCUGAUGCAGCCAAGUAGGGUGCAGGAUGACGGCGUGAGGGGUUGUAAACUGCGGUUAUGAGGGGAUAAAGUGAGGGACGUGACCGUCAGUGAAGGUAACGGAUGAAUAAGGACCGGCUAACUCCGUG
Molecule: ribosomal RNA, 491 nt
Filed under: uncultured bacterium
Lineage: Bacteria
Description: partial 16S ribosomal RNA
Rfam family: Bacterial small subunit ribosomal RNA
Source: RNAcentral